Felis catus (domestic cat) is the source of this 2835-nucleotide long non-coding RNA. RefSeq lists it as uncharacterized. Lineage: Eukaryota; Metazoa; Chordata; Mammalia; Carnivora; Felidae. The record is from RefSeq and is a predicted model, not a curated record. The transcript is spliced from 2 exons.
CUCUCUCUCUCUCUCUCUCUCUCUCUCUCAAAAAUAAAUAUUUAAAAAGAACAGCCAAAAUCCAAAACGCUGACCCUAAAUGCUGAUGAGGAUGUAGAACAACACAAACCUUCACUCAUUGCAGGUGGGAAUGUAAAAUGGUGCAACUGUGGAAGACACUUUGGAGAUUUCUUAAUAAUUAUACUUUUACCAUAUAAUCUAGCAAUUGUAUUCCUUGAUAUUUUCCCAAACGAACUAAAAAUUUAUGGUCCCUAUAAAAUCCUGCAACAGAUGCUUACAGCAGCUUUACUGAUUCCAAAACUUGGGCACAACCAAGACACCCUUAGUAUGCAAGUGGAUACAUAAAAUGAGGUAUAUCCCAGACAAUAGAAUAAUAUUCAGCACUAAAAAGAAAUGAACUAUCAAACAAUGAAAAUAUAUAGGAACCUUAAAUACAUAUUACUAAGUCUAAGUAGCCAAACUGAAAAGAUUACAAACUGUAAUGAGAUUCCAACUCUAUGACAUUUUGGAAAAAAGCAAAACUAUGGAGAUAGUAAAAAGACUGCCAAAAUUUGGAGGGUGGAGUGAAGAGAAAGGGAUGAUUAGGUUGAACAUAGAGGAUUUUUAGGGUAGUGAAAUUAUUCCACCACUGUAUGAUACUACAGUGGUGGAAACAUGUCACUUUACAUUUGUUAAAACCCGUAAGAUACACAGCACCAAGAGUGAUUCCGAAUGUAAAUCACGAACUUUGGGUGAUAAUGAUGUGUUAAUUUAGGUUUGUUGACUGUAACAACUGUACCACUGUGAUACAGGAUGUUGAUAGUGGGAGGGACUGUACAUGUGUGGAGGCAAGGAUAUGAGAAUCUUCUGUACCUCCUCUUCAAUUUUGCCUUUAACUUAAAAUUGCUCUGAAAAAUAAGUUGAUUAGUAAAAAAAAAAAAAAAAAAAAAAAACCAAAAAAAACCUUACCUAAAUUACCUAAGCUUACCUAUAAUCAUUCACCGUCUUAGUCAAAUAGCACUUCUAUUAAUUAUUCAUCACCUUAGCCAAUAAAAUCCAAUGCCUUUUCUGAUAUGCAUCCCCCUGGCUCUCAUUAUUUUGACAAGGUCACUGUAAAAACACAUGAAACAAAAGGAUGCUAGGCAGAAUUAACUUGCUGGCUGCCAAGACACUUCAUGACAUAGCAAUAGGCAGGGUCUGCAACUCAAAUUAAAGUCAGUUAAGUUUCAAGAGUUGAUUAGACAAAGGCUGUCGAUCCAUUCUAACAAAAUUCAUAAAUGACUAAUAUAGAAACCACAGUAAUUUUUCUAUUAACAACAAAAAUACAUGUCUCUCUUCCCAGCUUUCUUUACCCCAGAAAGCCUGUUAAGUGGGAAGCCAAACUGUUACCACAAGGUUGUGUAAUGAAGACCGCCAACUAGGAAAUUUCAAAGUAAUGUUCCAGCUUUCAGUAAUGUUCCAGCUGUAUUCAGAAGAAUGAAUGAGAGUUUGCCACACUAUCAAGAGAAAAGGGCACCCCAGACAGUAGACAUGGUAAAUGGAGAGACAAAAUACCAGGUCAGGUUUAAGGAAUAAACAGUAUAGCAUUGAUGAAAUAUACAAUAUUGUAAAACUAGGUAGGUUGGUGUUGUCUGUCAUACUAAAGUAAGCUUUAAUUUUUUUUUUUUUUUUUUUUUUUUUUUGGUCUCAACCUGCAUGUCUCAAAAGCCAUUGGGUCAAGAAAUCCAUUUUGUAGGUCCAAUCAGCAUUUUUUCUAAGUGAAAAAGAUGAGAACAGAAUAGCAAAUAGAGGGCAUCACAGGCAGUAAGGGUAAAUUUUUUUCAUUGAACUUUUGUUUCCAUUAUAAAUGUCUGUUUAUAUGUGUAUACUAGGUCACAGAUGUAAAAAUCUGGUUUUAUUUUUUUUAUUUAUUUAUUUUUUUUGGUGAGUCACGGUCAAAAUGAGAUUUGAAAGUCACUACUCUCCAGAUGAUAUAGACUCAUGGAAGGAAAGGUUUCAAGAAAAAAACAUGGGAAAAUUUGUUUUUACAAAAUUAUACUGGCAAUUAAUACAAAGCAGCUCUUCAUGCUAAUGGGAGUCUGGAAUUAAAUUCAGUUACCCUCUACCAGUAGGUUUAUGUAGAACAGAACAGCAUUACAAAGAAAAUAAAAUGCAUCCUAAGUAGUAAUUAAAAAGGGUGUAUUUCAUGGGUUUUGGUCUCAUUGUUUUGUAUUUCACACACAGAUAAAUUCUGUAUCACAACAUACAGUGAAUUUCUUAAUUUUUACUUGGAUGAAAUAAAAGAAAUUUUGGAAGUUACUGAUAAAGAGAGUGAUUACUUGGCAGAAAAAGAGAUGAGGGACAAGGAGAAAAUUAACAAACUACUCCAAAAGGAGGAAAGAGAAAAUGAGGGUUUGAAGCCAUAGGAGAUUUAAAAAAAGAAAAAGAAAAAAAAAAGUUUGGAAGCAAUUUAGGAGGUAGAAAAGAACAAUCUUAAUAAAUGUUUAGAUAGGAGUAGGAGGAAAAAAAGAAAGCCAGAAUGACUGGAAUCUUAAAAAAAGAACAACUAUUUUGAGAAGUAGAACAGGAUUCCUCUCUGUAUUUUACACUACAAUGCACAAGCUCCUUAGCCUGGCAUGUAAAGCAUACCACGAUAGGUCUGCAAACUAUUAAAUCUCAAUUUUUCUUCAUUGCACUCACUCAUAGGCCUUUUCACUAGGUAAAUAAUACCACUUCCAUAAAUAUUAAUAGUAUAUUGUUACAAGGUAUUAAUGACCCAACAGCACAUUAAGACUCUAUAUGAUUUCAGAUACUAUAGUGUUAAAUUUUUUUUUUAUCACAUCACAUAGGUUCCUUAAAAAAAAAAAAAAGGUGAAA